RNAcentral lists this ribosomal RNA (451 nucleotides) under uncultured bacterium. Its description in RNAcentral is "partial 16S ribosomal RNA". It matches the Rfam family "Bacterial small subunit ribosomal RNA", at positions 28 to 523 of the family's 1533-position model. The record is from RNAcentral.
GAUGAGCGCUGGCGGCGUGCCUAAUACAUGCAAGUCGAACGAGGUCUUCGGACCUAGUGGCGAACGGGUGAGUAACACGUUGGUACCUACCCCGAAGUGGGGAAUAACUGCCCGAAAGGGUGGCUAAUACCGCAUAAUACCGCAGGGUUAAAGCAGUAAUGCGCUUCGGGAGGGGCCUGCGUCCCAUUAGCUAGUUGGUAGGGUAAUGGCCUACCAAGGCGACGAUGGGUAGCUGGAUCGAGAGGUUGACCGGCCACACUGGGACUGAGAUACGGCCCAGACUCCUACGGGAGGCAGCAGUAAGGAAUCUUCCACAAUGGACGAAAGUCUGAUGGAGCAACGCCGCGUGCAGGAUGACGGCCUUCGGGUUGUAAACUGCUUUUAUACGGGAAGAUUAUGACGGUACCGUAUGAAUAAGGACCGGCUAACUACGUGCCAGCCGCCGCAGUAA